This 433-nucleotide ribosomal RNA is filed under the name uncultured bacterium. Its description in RNAcentral is "partial 16S ribosomal RNA". It matches the Rfam family "Bacterial small subunit ribosomal RNA", at positions 29 to 507 of the family's 1533-position model. The record is from RNAcentral.
AGCGAACGCUGGCGGCAGGCUUAACACAUGCCAGUCGAGCGGGCACUUCGGUGUCAGCGGCAGACGGGUGAGUAACACGUGGGAACGUACCCUUCGGUUCGGAAUAACGCUGGGAAACUAGCGCUAAUACCGGAUACGCCCUUUUGGGGAAAGGUUUACUGCCGAAGGAUCGGCCCGCGUCUGAUUAGCUAGUUGGUGGGGUAAUGGCCUACCAAGGCGACGAUCAGUAGCUGGUCUGAGAGGAUGAUCAGCCACACUGGGAGUGAGACACGGCACAGACGCCUGGGAGAGGGAGGAGUGGGGAAUAUUGGAAAAUGGGCGCAAGGCUGACCCAGCCAUGGCGGGUGAGUGAUGAAGGCCUUAGGGUUGUAAAGCUCUUUUGUCCGGGACGAUAAUGACGGUACCGGAAGAAUAAGCCCCGGCUAACUUCGUG